UGAAAUCUAAUAAUAGAACCCACAACCAGUUUGGGGUGUCUGCCCUACUUCUUGACAGUCUGCCCUGAGGUUCGGCACUCCUGGUCAUGAACCACCUCAGGGAGCGUGACAUUAAGCACUUAGUCACAGCAACAUUACCAGUAAGUCCUUGCGUAUGCUAGACAAUGGCUAUGCAUCUGGAGCAAUCUGCCUGGAGAGACUGAGGGAAAACCUAUUCCAAAGUAAAAUUUGAACUAAACGGCAACCAAGGUCACGAGCAGGGAAGCUGUUAGAUCUGUCAGACCCUGCAGUAGGACACCUAGGGGGCAAACUUAGGCUAAGAUUUAAGGUGUGCUAUUUUUGAGAUACCAAUAAAGCCAAACUCUGGGGAGCGGGUUGGUUUGGACACUAACUUGAGUGUCUGCUGAGUCUGGAACAGACUCACUUCGUUCAAAGCUGUCCCAGCUAAGGCCACAUUUCCUCAUCUUUAGAACACCCUAAAAUGCUCACCUGGUUUUGGUUGUGGGGAUUGUGGUGAGUGGAUGAUGGAAUAAGAUUUUGUUGGGUGGUUUAUAUUUUCUUUCUUCUAUAUAGAUUCUCAUAUUGUCCUCGUUACCGUAGGAGCUGAGCGUCUUGCAGUGGUGCAUUAAGUCACGUGGCUCACAUCUGUCACGUCCCUUGUUCUCUCUCUUCUUCCACCCAAGAGGAGAAUGAUCUUCAGUGAGCUCUCACCUGGCCCUUGUCUAAGAGGUAAUGAUAAGAAAGCUCCCGCCUCUCACCCCUUUGCACAUCCCUGCAGGACUAGACAUCACCUGGCCCAUGGGAUGCUCAAGAUUACUAAGUUAACAUUGCAGGAAAAUAAUUAACUCAUUUCAAUGGCAUUGAAGUUUGACCGACACAGCAGUUGUCAUUAGAAAGUUAAAAGUUAUCCCCUGUAGCUGUAUCUGAGGUCUCACGGUAUUCCCCUAUAUUUGGAACAGAGAAAGACUGGGCACUAACGUAGUAAGUGUGGCCAAAGUCAACUUUCUUAUGCCAUCUAAGAGUUUAAGGAUUCAAAGGGAAACUCCUGAGCACUGUUAACCCAAAACCCCGGCAGCAGCUGUGGGGAGAGUGGUUUAGUGUCUGAAUCCAGGAAGAAAGAUGUUCUGCAACACGAGGAAGCACCUCUACCAGCUUGUCAUGUGCAGGAAGAAAGGCCCAGUCCACAGGCAAAGACAGUGACACAGGUCACCAUCUACCAAGUGACAUCAGUGACGUGGACAUUUACAUUGCUUGAUGACCCUGGGUAACUCAGUGGUCAGUGUGUAUUACAGGUCCCCCGAUCCACAGAGGAUAUAAGUUUGUUACCGCUGCAACUAGAGAGCUUUAGUUCAAGCUGUAUCAGCCUAUGCUUCUAGCUCCAGAGGUCUCCGUUCACUCCCCCGGGUGUCAGCCAAGCCAUCCCAGCUGCAGCAAUGAGAACAGUAAGCUGCAAUGCAGAAACUACAGUAAGAUGCAAUCUGCUGCCUGGGCUUGUCACACACCAUCCCAGCAUUACUGGUAAAUUGCACGCUCCAUUAAUUGCUUGACCACACUUUGGUUCCUUAUGGAAUAUGCACACAAGACCAAAUGACCAAUACCAGUCAGGUUGAUUGCUAAUAGUCAAUAAUAGUAUAGUUCAGGAAAAAAGGUUCAAUAUGAGACCAGUUUCCAAGAAUCUGUCUUGUUAAGUUCACCCUACACAGAAGAUGUGUUCCCAGAGUUCCACAUUUUGGGUAGGACUAUUUAUAGGAUGAUUUUACAACUUGCAAAAGUCUUUACAUAUCACUAAAAUCCAAUGCACCCGUUCAUCCCAGUUCCUUAACCUGUUGUUCUGUACCUUCCGUAUCUUUGUUUUGGGCACUAGCUUUCCAGGUAUUGGUCACUGAAAGUCCCUCCCCAGCUUGCACAGGGGCAGAGCUUGAAUGUAUUUUGCCUUUGACAGUGCCUGUUUUUCAAUGCCAAAGCUGACUACAGCUUUGCAGUAUGUUAUUGGAUACACAGCUUAGGUGAACAGGGUUAUAGAAAGAAAGACAUAGGCCAGGUUAGGCCACGUAACUGCUAGAAACAUAUAUACACACAAAAUGAUGUUAUAUUGAUAUUGUGUGCUUAAUGCAUAUUAAUAUAUGAUGUGAAUUAGAGAGAGAGGGAGAGAGAGAUAAGACCAGUAUAUAUUAGUCAACAGCAUGGAGAAAAUUAUAUUGAAUGGAAGUUAUUAAUGCCAAUAAGUAUGAACCACCAGAUGAAAUUUUGGAGGAAGCAGUGGAACUACUUGUAGAGUAGGGCGCUACUUAACAUGAGUAAGAGUGGCAGAAUUUGACCCAUUAUUAUUAAGUAUACAGAAAUGGAUAUUUCUUCACAACAUAAUUACCUUAGCUUUGUUUUUUUUAAUACUUUCAGUACCUAAAUACUUUAUCUAAAGGGAUACUCAAGUGGUAAACCAAUUCAUACAUUUAUCUUUGGACAGUAUAAUUUUUGGUAAGGUACUUUAAUUGCUCAGUGUUGAGAAAGAGAUGGAAGAAAUGAAAGGGAUUCAGAGAUGAAGAACAAAAGAGGCGGAAGUCCUAGUGAGACUUCCAUAUGAGGACAGAUUAGAGUUGAUUAUCUUAGUAAGGAGAUGAGUAAGGGGGAAUAUGCUAGAUGUUACGAUUGGUUCAGAGACAGUAAAUCAGGAGCUCCUGUAUAUUCAUCCCCAAAGUCACUGACAAUGAAAGGCAACACUUACAAAGCUAACAAAAGGAAAUGAUUUUUAAUCACUGCACUGAUUGCCACAAGGUAGCAUUGAGACCAAGAGUUUAGCAGGAGUCAUAAAAAGAUUAGAUUUGUAUUUAGUGAGAUUAUCCACAGUUGGAUUAGACAGGAAAACACUUUUAUAAAGAAUUUAAACCCUCAUGAUUCAGGGUAUCAGACAGCGCCUAAAUAGAUGCAUGUUAGUAUGAUAAUUCCCCUGAUGGCUGGUUACUCCUUUAAGGGUUUCUUGCAACUUCCUCUGAAGUAGCUGGUACCUGACAGGCAGUGUGAUCUAGUGGAUAGGGCACUGGACUGCUUCUGCCACGGACUUAUGGUGGGAUCUUGGGCAAGUCAUUUCACCUCUCUUUCUCCUCACAUCCUUCGUCUCUCUGGCCUAUUUAGACAGUACGCUUUGUGAAGUAGGGACUGUCUCUUACUAUGCGGCUGCACAGGAGUGACUACAAUAGGCCCCAAUCUCAACUGAGGUCUCU
This is a non-coding RNA of Chrysemys picta bellii (western painted turtle), 3218 nucleotides long. The record is from RefSeq and is a predicted model, not a curated record. NCBI's taxonomy places the organism in Eukaryota, Metazoa, Chordata, Testudines, Emydidae.